Molecule: non-coding RNA, 8980 nt
Organism: Bactrocera oleae (olive fruit fly)
Lineage: Eukaryota; Metazoa; Arthropoda; Insecta; Diptera; Tephritidae
Source: RefSeq, a predicted model, not a curated record
CACGAAGUAGAAAGUUUUGCUCAAUACAAAUUUCUUUUCACUAAAUGGGCUUUUCACGAUUCCUUACUAUACACAAACGACGAAUCAGCAGCGACGACCGAUAGCGGCGACAACGUUUCAGCACUUUUGGGUAUAACAGUAGCCGUUCAUCGAAUUGGCGUUCAGUUCUUAAGGGUAGUUAGUUGGAAAACGGCGUCAAAUCGGGCUAACGGUGCCGCACAAUUGGGUUGAUAGCAAAUUUUUUUGUAUUAUACCAAAACUAGUGGUGCAGAAGACGGGCACAGUGCAGAGGGCCACCAGCAAGCUGAAAAAUGUAUAUAUAAAUCGGUAGUAGUUGCUGAAAAAGUGUAUACCGCAGUGUAGGAAGUAUUGAAAAUUCAUGUAAAUUUUGUGUUCAAAUGUGGAAAAUUCCAAAUAUCGCAGUCUAGCAACAAAUCGUAUGCAUUGUGCAACCCACCAAAAAUUAUACAAAAGCAGCGUCAUGUAAAUAAAUCGUUAGAAGCUAAACGUAUAUACAUCAUAUGCCAAGAUAUCAUCAGCGACAGCGUCAACAGCGACCCUCAUCAAACCAACCAACUUAAUAACCAAACAACAACUAAAACAAUCAGUAAAGCGACGUUUGGGUCGACAGCCAAUUGACCGAGCAAUCAAACGACAAACAACACACAACACACAACAAGCAACAAGCGCAGUGUUAAACACUCUUCGAGGCAACAACACCUAAAAGUAUACUAUCGCAGCCACGCAAAAGCCAAUCGAGUACACACACAAGGCACUAGGUGCCAUUAAUGCAAAAAUAGAACAACCGAGGGCGAAUAAAAUUUGAUUGCCUGCUGCCCAACCACGCGUCCAACCGAACGGAACGCAAUUCGCGGACCGAAACAAGCAGCAAGCAGAGGCGAAGGUAACAGCAACAACGGGAAAUAAGACAUUCUCUUAGCUCUCGUAGUGCAUGCGUAGCUGAGGUGAGCCGUGUAGGCGGUUAAUUGGAAAUUUUCUUCUGUUAGCGCUUGUUUCGAGAAAGCAGUCAAAAUUCACCGGCUAAGCAAGAGUGAUUGAAAAACGUGACAGAUACAAUACCAAAGAAAAAAAGCAAAAACAAAACAAAUAAUAACAAAUAACCAAUACAUAAAGGAAGAAAGCAAAAGAGAAUAUAAAAAAUACAAAAUACAAAAUCACCCUCUUAACGUUGUACUUAGCACCCAAUCGGGCUUAAACUAGAUUCAGUUAUUUGAAACUUCUUAACGAAUUAAACCAAAAAAACAAAAACUGAAAAAAUUUUCAAAUUAUUAAAACAGAUUUAUAUAGUUACUUUUUGCGUCGCCUUAUAAAAACUAAUCGCACAUAAUCGUACAUAUACACACACAUAUAUACAUAUAUAUACAAGCUACUGUACUCGUAUAUGUGAAAGCGGAGAGAAGCAGAGCAAAAAAAAAACAAAAAGUAUACGAAAUUCACGAUAACAAGAAAAACAUAUAGCAGAAGAGAACACAUAACCCGAGCAGUGUGAAGCGAGAGAGAAACCGCGGACCAACCGCGGCAGAUUAUGUCACGAGACGAUUACAAUCCUGUAACUAGCUCUGGUGUUCGUAGCCCGGGUCGCUCAAGGCGGCUCACGGAAUUGCCAACUGUAGAUCGAUCGCCAUCACGAGACUACGGUGCACGUGGAAGUCCCCUAGUUUAGAAGUAGUCAAAAAUUCCUUUCCGAGAUAAAUUAGAACGCGUUGGUUUGCUGCAAGGCGUGCCACAUACACUUCGCCAUACACUUAUAUAACUGUUCCUUUGUUGUGUCGUAACAAAUUAAGGCGGCAAACUGGAUUACAACUAUGCAAUGGGCAGUCCAUACUAUAGAGACAUGGAUGAGCCAACAAGUCCAGCCGGUGCGGGCCACCAUCGGAGUCGGAGUGCCAGCAGACCGCCGAUGUCACAUGCCAUGGAUUAUCCAAGAACACGUUACCAGUCGCUGGAUCGCGGUGGCUUGGUUGAUCCACACGAUCGUGAAUUUAUACCCAUACGUGAGCCACGCGAUCGCUCACGUGAUAGGUCGCUUGAGAGAGGAUUGUAUUUGGAGGACGAGUUGUACGGACGUUCGGCGAGGCAAAGCCCGAAUCCUAUAGGUUAUCAAACGGGGUUACCAUCAUCGGAUCGAGCGUAUCUGGGCGAUCUACAGCAUCAAAAUACCGAUCUGCAGCGGGAAUUAGGUCAACUUAAGCGAGAGUUAGAACUGACAAACCAAAAGUUAGGUAGUUCGAUGCACAGCAUAAAGACGUUUUGGUCGCCGGAGUUAAAGAAGGAGCGAGCGUUGCGUAAAGAAGAGAGCGCCAAAUACAGUUUGAUUAAUGAUCAGCUAAAGUUGCUGAGCACGGAAAAUCAAAAACAAGCGAUGUUGGUGCGUCAGUUGGAGGAGGAGUUGCGAAUGCGCAUGCGUCAGCCUAACAUUGAAAUGCAACAACAAAUGGAGGCUUUGUACGCGGAAAACGAUCAUUUACAGCGCGAGAUCAGCAUAUUACGUGAGACAAUUAAGGAUCUUGAGUGUCGCGUGGAAACGCAAAAGCAAACUCUCAUUGCGCGAGACGAAAGUGUCAAGAAAUUAUUGGAAAUGUUGCAAACCAAGGGAAUGGGUAAAGAGGAGGAGCGACAGAUGUUCCAGCAAAUGCAAGCCAUGGCCCAAAAACAGAUGUACGGCACAUACGGCUCGACUGGAAGUCCGCCACUACCAGACAUAAUCGGUCAGUAUUACCUGCCGACCGGAUACGGUCUCGGUGUUGGUCCGCCGCCACCACCACCGAGCACCUACGACAUGUUUGGCCCCACCUCUUCAGCUGCUGGUUAUCUGUACGAGCCGACGGUAAGCAGUACUGGCCUCUAUGGCCAGCAUCCAUCACCUAUACGUCGACGCCGUUACAGUAUCGCCGGCCUGCCAUCGGCCUCGAUGAUGAACGACUACUACGGUCUCUAUGCGCCACAAAUGCAGCAAUCCUCCUCUUCUAAUAUUGUUAACCUGUUAAAUGAGGCGCACAAAUCCAUUUCACGCUCCUCCCAGAUACUAAACCAACAUGCGCGCAUGCAACAGGCCACACAACCAGUAACACCGCUCUCACAUUAUCCCGGACGCAUAAUCUCUAGCUAUCCGACCUUGCACCCGGGUGAUACGUCGCCGCCAUACCUUAAUGAUAACCUCAUGCAGAUGUCGUCGAGCUUCUCCUCCCAGCCGAACAUGUACUUCCAACAGUAUGCACCGACGUCGGCGGCGGCCACAGCGGCAGCGGCCCAACAAUCAGCAGCAGCGGCGGCGGCAGCAGUAGCGGCACAACAAGCGGCCACCGGUGGCCAUUUGGGUGGAAGGCUAUUGCGGCCGGCCUACUCAGUGUCAAAUUUAAAUUACUUGAACUAUCCGAGCAAAUACACUUCAGGUGGUGUUAGUGGUAUUGGUGGUAGUAGUAGUUAUGCAAAUCCAUUCUCUCAGUCCAUAUUCAGUCAGACCGAUUUGCCAUAUAGCAUGAGUACGUUGUUGCAUCAACGCAAUCUAAUGCCAUCGUUGCACGCCUCCAAUCCGGCUAUAUCGCAGUACUAUCAGUACGCCACACAGGCACCACAUACGCAUCCGCUUGCCUACAAUUUGCAACAGCAAUUUGCGGGCACACAACAUUAUACACACCAGCUGCCGCCCGGCGCCCAGCACCCGUCGGCGCACAUCCACCACUCGGUACAGCAGCAGCUGAAUCCGUUGCAUCAGUACCACGUGCACCAGCAGCAGCAUCACAUGCAAACGCAUCCACUGGCGGCGUUGCGCGAAACGAGUGGACCAUUCGCGGCAACACUUACCAGCAGCGCGCUGGACGACGCGGGGCUGACUGGGCGCGCUGGCCUAAGUGCAAGCGGUGGCGUUGGUGGCGUUGGCGGUGUGGCGACUGGUGCGGCGGGCGUUGCAGCUGCGUCGGCGUAUGAUAGCCUCCAUACAGCGCCCACAUAUCAGCAUCAUCAUCAUCAGCAACAACAACAACAGCAGCAGCAGCAACACCUCAGUCACUUAAGCCAACAGCAUCUGCACCACCUCCAUCAUCAUCCCACAACAUCAGCCCCAUUAAGCCAUACAAGCACUCCAUACCAUCAUCACCAACACAUGUCGCCAUAUUCGAAACUAGAUUUAGACUAUCCGAAACUGCCAUCCGAGCACAAACGACAAUUGGACGAAUUCCGUCUUGAAAUACAAAGAAGGGAUCAAGAAAUAUUGGCGAUGGCGGCCAAAAUGAAAACUUUGGAAGAGCAACAUCAGGACUAUCAGCGUCACAUAGCGGUUCUGAAGGAGUCGUUAUGUGCCAAGGAAGAGCACUACAAUAUGCUGCAGACUGAUGUUGAGGAGUUGCGCGCCCGCCUGGAGGAGAAAAACCGUUUGAUCGAGAAGAAGACACAAGGCACGCUACAAACGGUACAAGAACGGAAUCGUCUGACUAGUGAACUCACCGAAUUGAAGGAUCACAUGGAGAUUAAGGAUCGCAAAAUCAACGUGUUACAGCGAAAGAUUGAAAAUCUCGAGGAUUUGCUCAAGGAGAAGGAUAAUCAGGUGGAUAUGGCACGGGCACGUCUAUCGGCAAUGCAAGCUCAUCACAGUAGCUCCGAGGGCGCUCUCACAAGCCUCGAAGAAGCCAUUGGUGACAAAGAGAAGCAAAUGGCCCAACUGCGAGAACAGCGAGAUCGUGCCGAACAUGAAAAGCAAGAGGAGCGCGAAUUACAUGAGCGUGAAAUUGCCGAUUACAAAAUCAAGUUGCGGGCACUCGAGAGCGAAGUGGAGAAAUUGAAUACACGCCUGGAGCGUGCAGUCACCGAACGUGAGCGCUUGGAAAUCAAAUUGGAGGCGUCACAAAGUGAGUUGGGCAAAUCGAAGGCGGAACUGGAGAAGGCCACCUGCGAGAUGGGACGCAGCAACGCCGAUUGGGAGUCCACCAAACAACGCAUAGCCCGUCUAGAAUUGGAGAACGAACGCUUGAAACACGAUCUGGAACGUUCACAGCUGCAGCUAGAAGAACAGACCACACUACAUAAAUCUGUACAAAAAUUAAUGCUCGAGUCAGGACGCUUAUCGACAACAUUUGGUCGCACAACAAUGACGACUUCGCAAGAGCUGGACCGGGCACAAGAGCGCGCCGACAAGGCGGCUGCGGAACUGAGGCGAACACAAGCUGAGCUCCGCGUCACACAGUCGGACGCGGAGCGUGCUCGUGAAGAGGCGACCGCGUUACAGGAGAAGCUCGAGAAGAGUCAGGGUGAGGUAUAUCGCCUUAAAGCGAAACUCGAGAAUGCACAAGGCGAACAGGAAAGCUUGCGCCAGGAGCUUGAGAAGGUGCAGGGAGGUGUGUCACGCAUACAUGCUGAUCGAGAUCGGGCCUUCUCGGAAGUGGAAAAGAUGAAGGAGGAGAUGGAGCGAACUCAAGCCACACUGGGCAAGGCACAACUGCAGCAGGAGAAACUGCAGAACUCAUUGGAUAAAGCCCAGAAUGAGGUCGAUCACUUGCAGGAGAAACUCGAUAAAUCGGUGGCUGAAAACCGACGCUUGGUGCUCGAAAAGGAAAAACUCACCUACGACUACGACAACCUACAGUCGCAGCUGGACAAGGCGCUGGGCCAGGCGGCACGCAUGCAAAAGGAACGAGAAACUCUCACGCUCGACACGGACCGCAUACGUGAGAAAUUAGAAAAAACGCAGAUGCAACUAGCACGUAUACAAAAAGAGCGGGAUCAGUUCUCCGAUGAGUUGGAAACACUCAAAGAACGCUCCGAGUCAUCGCAGACGUUACUGAUGAAAGCGGCGCGCGAUAAGGAGGCGAUGCAAACCGAUUUGGAAGUGCUUAAGGAGCGUUACGAAAAAUCACACGCCAUACAACAAAAAUUGCAGAUGGAGCGUGACGAUGCUGUUACCGAAGUGGAGAUACUUAAAGAAAAACUAGACAAAGCACUUUAUGCUAGCCAGAAACUCAUUGAUGAGAAAGACACAUCCAAUAAAGAAUUUGAGAAGAUGCUUGAGAAGUACGAUCGCGCGCAGAAUGAGAUUUAUCGACUACAGUCACGUUGUGAUACCGCCGAAGCUGAUCGCGCACGUUUGGAAGUCGAAGCAGAGCGUUCCUCUUUGGCCGCGUCGAAAGCGCGUGAAGACUUACGCAAAUUGCAAGAGGAGAGCACUCGCUUACAGGAAGCCUGCGAUCGAGCCGCGCUGCAACUGAGCAGAGCUAAGGAGAGCGAAGAUAAUGCGCGUGUUGAGCUUGAGCACAAUCGUGAACGUUUCGAUAAGAUACAAACCGAUUUGCGACGAUCACAAGGUGAAAAAGAGCAUUUACAAUCGGAGUUGGAACGUGUCACAUACGAACUGGAGCGCGCACAUGCGGCACAAACCAAAGCCAGCGCCAGCGUGGAAGCGGCUAAAGAGGAAGCUGCGCACUAUGCCGUUGAAUUGGAAAAAAUGCGCGAUCGAUAUGAGAAGAGUCAAGUGGAGUUACGUAAACUCCAGGAUACUGAUACAUUUGGACGUGAGACCCGUCGCCUUAAGGAAGAAAAUGAGCGUCUCCGUGAAAAACUGGACAAAACUCUUAUGGAACUCGAAACGAUUCGUGGCAAGUCACAAUACGAAUCCGAAUCGUUUGAAAAAUACAAAGACAAGUAUGACAAGAUUGAAAAUGAAAUACAAAAUAUGGAAUCCAAACUGCAUGAGACCACCCUGCAACUGGAAUUGUCCAAAGGUGAGGUUGCUAAGCUACUUGCCAAUCAAGAGAAACAACGUAGCGAAUUGGAGCGGGCGCAUAUUGAGCGCGAGAAGGCACGUGACAAGCACGAGAAACUGCUGAAGGAGGUGGAGCGAUUGCGUCUGCAGCAACAGUCGGCCAUCAGCCCUGGCGAGUCGGUGCGCGCAUCGAUGUCGGCUGGCGAGCGCCAAGAAAUCGAUCGAUUACGCGAUCGACUCGAAAAGGCAUUACAGUCGCGCGAUGCCACCGAACUCGAAGCGGGCCGCCUCGCCAAGGAGUUGGAGAAAGCGCAGAUGCAUUUAGCCAAACAGCAGGAAGCGAACGAAUCGACGCGCAUCGAAUUCGAACGCAUGUCUGCCGAACUCGGCCGUCUGCACGAUCGACUCGAGAAGGCAGAGGCCGAGAAGGAGUCACUACGCCAAUCGGCACGCAAUGGCGCAGACAAACCGCAUCCACAAAUCGAAAAGCACAUGCAGAAAUUGGAAGCCGAUUGCAAGCAAUUAGCUAUCGAACGCGAGCAAUUGGUACUGCAACUCGAAAAGAGCCAGGAGAUAUUGAUGAAUUUCCAAAAGGAGCUGCAAAAUGCCGAAACCGAAUUGCAAAAGGCGCGUGAAGAGAAUCGCAAAUUACGUAACGGUCAUCCGGCAUCACCCGCGGCACCUGCUGAACUGCAAGCCAUGCAACAGGAGAUCCAGGGACUGCAACAGAAGUUACAAGAAUCCGAAAAAGCCCUCCAGGUCGCUAGUGCCGCAGCGGGCGCGAGUGGCGCCAAUCGGGAAGAGGUCGAACAGUGGCGCAAGGUGCUUGAAGUUGAGAAGAAUCGCGCAGAAAUGGCCGACAAAGCCGCACAAGAAAUGCAUAAACGCAUACAAUUGAUGGAUCAGCACAUUAAGGAGCAACAUCAACAAAUGCAGAAAAUGCAACAACAGAUAGCACAACAGCAACAACAACAACAACAACAGCAGCAGCAACAACAAGUGUCCGGUAAUGCUCAAGAAGUCACGAAGGAGCUGGAGAAGGUGAAAGGUGAACUGCAGGCUGCCUGUACAGAACGUGACCGUUUCCAACAGCAGCUGGAGUUGCUGGUACAAGAACUCGAAAAGAGCCAGCUUUCAAACCAGGAGCAGUCGAAGCAACUGCAAACUUCUCAGCAGCAAGUGCAGCAGUUGCAGCAGCAGGUGCAAAUGUUGCAGCAGCAAAUACAACAACUGCAGCAGGCGGGCACUUCCGGCGCAGCUGCCACCGAUGUGCAGCGCCAACAAUUGGAGCAACAACAGAAACAAUUGGAGGAGGUACGCAAACAGAUCGACAACCAAGCCAAGGCUACGGAAAGCGAGCGCAAGAUCAUCGAGGAGCAGCGCAAACAGAUAGAAGCCAAACGCAAGGAUAUCGAGGAGAAAGAGAAGAAAAUGGCUGAUUUCGAUGUACAGUUGCGUAAACGAAAGGAGCAAAUGGACCAGUUGGAGAAAUCUCUGCAGACACAGGGUGGCGGUGCUGCGGCAGCAGGGGAGCUUAACAAGAAGCUCAUGGACACACAGCGACAGCUUGAAGGCUGCGUUAAGGAACUGCAAAACACCAAGGAGGAGCACAAAAAGGCAACCACCGAAUGCGAACGGUUACUUCAACUGGUGCAAAUGUCGCAAGAGGAACAGAACGCCAAGGAGAAAACCAUUAUGGACUUACAACAAGCCUUAAAGAUCGCUCAAGCAAAAGUGAAACAAGCACAAACGCAGCAGCAGCAAGAUUUUAAAGAUCAAGUUAAAUGCUCAUGUCCCAAGCGAUAUCUGAAAUACCCUUCCCAUACCGUUAGGACGUCACAAUAUAGAAAUCGUUACUUUCAACAACCGAAGCCUCCUUAAAUGACUUUCGUGUCUAAUUAACGAUUUAGAUUCAAUGGAACUCGAUUGUUCAGUCCCUCACAUUUUGCGAAAUCCUCAUGGAAUACUUGUGAAAUAAAUCCAAAAGGCUGGACCAGCUGGAUUCUUGAAGAGCUUUUUCUAAGGAGUAUUACUUGAAAACUUGAAAACAAACAAAUAUAUACGAGAAGCAACAAAACUUUUCAUUAUUACACUGUACAUUUAACUACCAGUAACCUCAGUAUUGAUUUCAUUAUAAUAAUGAACAAUGGAAAAGAAGGGAAAUCUUUUUUACUCAACUUUUGCUGAACGUUGUCUUUUUCUAAUUAUUGUUUUCUUGUAACUAAACCAAAAAUAUACGCAGAUUAAUGUUAAAUAUUGUGAACUAAA